RNAcentral lists this ribosomal RNA (493 nucleotides) under uncultured bacterium. RNAcentral describes it as "partial 16S ribosomal RNA". It matches the Rfam family "Bacterial small subunit ribosomal RNA", at positions 30 to 507 of the family's 1533-position model. The record is from RNAcentral.
CGAACGCUGGCGGCGUGCCUAAUACAUGCAAGUAGAACGCUGAAGGAGGAGCUUGCUUCUCCGGAUGAGUUGCGAACGGGUGAGUAACGCGUAGGUAACCUGCCUGGUAGCGGGGGAUAACUAUUGGAAACGAUAGCUAAUACCGCAUAACAGUAGAUAUCGCAUGAUAUCUGCUUGAAAGGUGCAAUUGCAUCACUACCAGAUGGACCUGCGUUGUAUUAGCUAGUUGGUGAGGUAACGGCUCACCAAGGCGACGAUACAUAGCCGACCUGAGAGGGUGAUCGGCCACACUGGGACUGAGACACGGCCCAGACUCCUACGGGAGGCAGCAGUAGGGAAUCUUCGGCAAUGGACGGAAGUCUGACCGAGCAACGCCGCGUGAGUGAAGAAGGUUUUCGGAUCGUAAAGCUCUGUUGUAAGAGAAGAACGAGUGUGAGAGUGGAAAGUUCACACUGUGACGGUAUCUUACCAGAAAGGGACGGCUAACUACGUG